UACGAAGGGGGCGAGCGUUGUUCGGAAUUACUGGGCGUAUAGGGAGUGUAGGCGGUUUAGUAAGAUAGUGGUGAAAUGCCAGAGCUUAACUUUGGAAUUGCCAUUAUAACUAUUAGGCUUGAAUGAUAGAGAGGAUAUCGGAAUACCCAGUGUAGAGGUGAAAUCCGUAGAUAUUGGGUAGAACACCGGUGGCGAAGGCGGGUAUCUGGCUAUUAAUUGACGCUGAGGCUCGAAAGCAUGGGGAUCAAAC
Molecule: ribosomal RNA, 250 nt
Filed under: uncultured prokaryote
Description: partial 16S ribosomal RNA
Rfam family: Bacterial small subunit ribosomal RNA
Source: RNAcentral